GUUUUAGGUUUAGCAUUUAUUCCCGGUGGAAAUGCUACAUAUAUAUAUGAAUAUAUGACGAAUCGAUCUUAUUCGCUUUGCAAUACCUCAUUCCAAUCAAAAUUGAUAAGUGCAUAUGAU
RNAcentral lists this small RNA (120 nucleotides) under Polytomella parva. Its description in RNAcentral is "partial transfer-messenger RNA". Lineage: Eukaryota; Viridiplantae; Chlorophyta; Chlorophyceae; Chlamydomonadales; Chlamydomonadaceae. The record is from RNAcentral.